AAUCCAUGGUGAGGACACUUUAGCGUUAGGUCCUUGUAUCUCUCCCAUGCAUCAUAAAGAGUUUCUAAGUCCAUUUGCACAAACAAAGAGAUAUCAUUACGUAAUU
This 106-nucleotide small nucleolar RNA is filed under the name Gossypium arboreum. RNAcentral describes it as "Plant small nucleolar RNA R71". It matches the Rfam family "Plant small nucleolar RNA R71". From Rfam's summary of the family: R71 is a member of the C/D box family of snoRNAs containing the C (UGAUGA) and D (CUGA) box motifs. Multiple nearly identical copies of this snoRNA have been identified in Arabidopsis, and it is thought to function as a 2'-O-ribose methylation guide for 18S ribosomal RNA. The record is from Rfam by way of RNAcentral. Lineage: Eukaryota; Viridiplantae; Streptophyta; Magnoliopsida; Malvales; Malvaceae.